AGAGUUUGAUCAUGGCUCAGGAUGAACGCUGGCGGUAUGCUUAACACAUGCAAGUCGAACGGGACCAUACGUGGUUUAGUGGCGGACGGGUGAGUAACGCGUGAGAAUCUGCCCUUGGGUUGGGGACAACCACUGGAAACGGUGGCUAAUACCGAAUAAGCCGAGAGGUGAAAGAGAAAUUGCCUGGGGAUGAGCUCGCGUCUGAUUAGCUAGUUGGUGGGGUAAAGGCCUACCAAGGCACCGAUCAGUAACUGGUCUGAGAGGAUGGCCAGUCACACUGGGACUGAGACACGGCCCAGACUCCUACGGGAGGCAGCAGUGGGGAAUUUUCCGCAAUGGGCGAAAGCCUGACGGAGCAAUACCGCGUGAGGGAGGAAGGCUCUUGGGUCGUAAACCUCUUUUCUCAGGGAAGAAGAGAUGACGGUACCUGAGGAAUAAGCAUCGGCUAACUCCGUGCCAGCCGCCGCGGUAAUAC
This 475-nucleotide ribosomal RNA is filed under the name uncultured bacterium. Its description in RNAcentral is "bacterial SSU rRNA". It matches the Rfam family "Bacterial small subunit ribosomal RNA", at positions 8 to 526 of the family's 1533-position model. The record is from RNAcentral.